CUCUUAGUAUAAAAUGAAACGAGAUAGGAAUGUUGGUGGGUGUAAUGUUUCAGAAAGAAGGGUAGUGGAAGGCAUACAUUGGUAAGGAUUGUAGAUCAUGGCUGAUUGGAACCAUCCUUAGAAACGAUGCCCUUCUACAGUACAUCCUGGAAACAAGUGCCUAUCCCAAAGAGCAUGAGCAAUUGAAGGAAUUAAGAGAGGCCAGCGCUCUCAAGUACAAAGAUUUGUAAGCUUAUAAACUCCUUAUUUCUUAAAUUAAAUAUGGGAGCGUCAUGAAUGUGGGUAUUGAUGAAGCACAGUUUCUAUGGAUGCUGUUGAAGAUAAUGAAUGCCAAGAAAACAGUGGAAAUUGCAGUAUUCACCGGCUACUCCCUUCUUGCAUUGCCUGAGGAUGGCAAGGUAUAAUCGCAAUAGAUCCAGACAAAGAAGCAUACGAGAUUAGAUUAAAUUCAUCCCUUCAGAUGCUUUCUUAGUUUUACAUCAUCUCCUUCGUAAUGAAGCUUCAACUUCAUAUUUGUGGACGCCUAUAAGAGCUGACGCUGAAACUAGUGAAGAACGGAGGUAUUAUAGCUUACGACAACACUUUAUGGUAUGGAUCAGUUGCAGAAUCGGAGAAAGAGGGUCUCAUCAAGAAGUUUAGAAACUUCGUGAUCGAAUUCAAUACCUUAAUUGCCGCCGAUCCUCGAGUUCAAUCGUCGCUGCUUUCCGUCGGCGAUGGUCUCACCCUCUGCUGACGUCUCUACUAGUCAACAAAACAACCAACAAUUAAAUCCGAUUUCAAUCGCCGCCGACGUCUCUACUCGAGAAAAUCAACCAACCUUUCGUCGGUAAGUCAAAUUUUCUACUGUUUGAGAGUUUAUGUAUAUAGAUGCUUGAAUUAGGUUGAAUAAUGUUUGACAAAUUUAUUAUAACUUGGCGGACAUUACCUUGUCAGUUUGCAUUUGGAUUUUGUUUUGAGGGAAAUCUUGCAUUGUGAUUCCCAUGUAAAUUCGAGAACCUUGAUUUUCAUACUUCAACCCUAAACCUUGAGUUUCAAAAA
Long non-coding RNA from Gossypium arboreum, 1038 nucleotides. RefSeq lists it as uncharacterized. Lineage: Eukaryota; Viridiplantae; Streptophyta; Magnoliopsida; Malvales; Malvaceae. The transcript has 4 exons. The record is from RefSeq and is a predicted model, not a curated record.